CCUCAGAUUGAACGCUGGCGGAAUGCUUUACACAUGCAAGUCGAACGGCAGCACGGACUUCGGUCUGGUGGCGAGUGGCGAACGGGUGAGUAAUACAUCGGAACGUGCCCAGUCGUGGGGGAUAACGUAGCGAAAGUUACGCUAAUACCGCAUACGAUCUAAGGAUGAAAGCGGGGGAUCGCAAGACCUCGCGCGACUGGAGCGGCCGAUGGCAGAUUAGGUAGUUGGUAGGGUAAAGGCCUACCAAGCCGACGAUCUGUAGCUGGUCUGAGAGGAUGAUCAGCCACACUGGGACUGAGACACGGCCCAGACUCCUACGGGAGGCAGCAGUGGGGAAUUUUGGACAAUGGGCGCAAGCCUGAUCCAGCCAUUCCGCGUGCAGGACGAAGGCCUUCGGGUUGUAAACUGCUUUUGUACAGAACGAAAAGCCUUGGGUUAAUACCCUGGGGUCAUGACGGUACUGUAAGAAUAAGCACCGGCUAACUACGUG
This 490-nucleotide ribosomal RNA is filed under the name uncultured bacterium. Its description in RNAcentral is "bacterial SSU rRNA". It matches the Rfam family "Bacterial small subunit ribosomal RNA", at positions 22 to 507 of the family's 1533-position model. The record is from RNAcentral.